This is a long non-coding RNA of Oreochromis niloticus (Nile tilapia), 1027 nucleotides long. RefSeq lists it as uncharacterized. The record is from RefSeq and is a predicted model, not a curated record. Lineage: Eukaryota; Metazoa; Chordata; Actinopteri; Cichliformes; Cichlidae. The transcript has 4 exons.
ACCGAAGAAGAAGUCAUUCGGCAGUAUGGGGUGAUUUAAAUGUGGAAGUUUAACUGAACCAAGCUUUAUGUCGUAUUUAAGAAUUUCAACACCAGACUGUGGAGGUAGAUACUUUCCUUUCCCCGGAACUGCUGUCAUCUGUUGGCGGCUCGUUGUGUAACUAACAUUGGGUAAUAACAAGCCCGACUUCUGCGGUUGUACACCAAAUUUGGCCGAAGAGGAAGCCGCGGCUGUAAACACUGUGACCAACGUUACCUGCGGCACCUGAAACGGCAGGGUGCAGGAGCACCAGAGGAUGGUGGCCGAAAGGGACAAAGACAUAAGAAGGCUGGGGUCCAAGUCAGACAAAAAUAAAAGUGAGCUGAAGGUGCUGCGGCUUUAGGUGGGCAGAGUACGGCAGGAUGAACUUUCCUGCUCUGUCAGCAGCGCUGAAAACCAGCCGAACAACCACCGCGUCAAGUCUGGUGAUGUCGGGACGCUGCCUCUGCCGCUGCAGUCGGUACAGGAUUUAAGAAGCUCUACAGCAACUUAGCCACAGCUGAAGACGAAAAUGAUCUCUUACUUCCACCGGUCUGGAGGUGUGUUCAACAAAGAAAGUGUGUGGAGGACAAUGACAAAGCUUUUUACUAACACUUUGGCCAAAAACAUCAACUGGAGGGGAAGAAAUAACAAGCACAAAAUACAGAACCUCACCAUCAAGAGAGUUAUCCUCAAUGCAGUCAGGCAGAACUCGUUCUGUAAGGAUGCCGUGGACGAGGAGAUAGAGAGGUAUAUAAAGAGAUGGCUGCAGCUGGCAGGAAACCGAGAUGGAGGAAGAAAAAGAAGACAGGAAAAGGGAAAGGAAGCGAUCAGCAUGGGGAACUACUGUGUAGAGUAGCACAAAAUGCAUCUGCAGCACAUGUUAUUUUGACUCUUACAUCUACAGCAUGAGAUGAAAAGAAAAAUACUAUCCCUCCAAUGACUGCUCACAAGGCUGGAUUCAUCAUGUCGUGUUUACCUGUCAUGUGAUGCUACAUGUAAGUUAGGA